RNAcentral lists this long non-coding RNA (461 nucleotides) under Oryza brachyantha (malo sina). RNAcentral's name for it is "long non-coding RNA (OBRA_LNC001655)". Lineage: Eukaryota; Viridiplantae; Streptophyta; Magnoliopsida; Poales; Poaceae. The record is from RNAcentral.
UAUUGAAAAUAGGAAACAGAUAACACAUGCUACAUAUAGAGUUAACAAUUCUCUAACUGGAUCAACACCCAAUCUUGACAUAACUAUAUAUAUUCAGAUUGAAAGUUACUUAUACUCUUGACCAUGAUGCGUCUGAUCUUUAAGGUGUGCAGCUACUAUUCUGCGGACGAUGGUUCAUAGUAUGAGCCGAGAGCAUAGAUUGAUCUAGGCACAAGUAACCAAGAGGGAAUAGGCUCUAUAGUCAUCCAAAGUGACCUAUCACCAUCCUACAAUCAUGCCCUAUAGCGACACACAGGGCUGGGUACAUCAUGUGCAAGAAACUAAAGAUAGAUCUAAAGCACAGAGCUGCAGAAGUACUCAAAGGCGUCUGCUGUAUCCUCGGAUGCCCCCCAGUCCCACAUUUCUAAAGUUAAAAGUUUGGUUUGCAAAAACAAAAACUAUGUGAAUUAUAUUCGCAUUUA